This 250-nucleotide ribosomal RNA is filed under the name uncultured bacterium. RNAcentral describes it as "partial 16S ribosomal RNA". It matches the Rfam family "Bacterial small subunit ribosomal RNA", at positions 524 to 776 of the family's 1533-position model. The record is from RNAcentral.
UACGUAGGGGCGAGCGUUAUCCGGAAUUAUUGGGCGUAAAGAGUACGUAGGUGGUUUGUAAGCAUGGGGUGAAAGACCGAGGCUCAACUUCGGUUAGCCUUGUGAACUGCAAGACUUGAGUGCAGGAGAGGAAAGUGGAAUUCCUAGUGUAGCGGUGAAAUGCGUAGAUAUUAGGAGGAACACCAGUGGCGAAGGCGACUUUCUGGACUGUAACUGACACUGAGGUACGAAAGCGUGGGUAGCAAACAGG